UGUAGAUGCAAUCACAAUACACCAUGCCGCUAGGGAUUAUGAAUGGAAUUUCCCCAUUCACUAGUCAGGUGCUUAUUAUGAAAUCAUUUUAGAUCCUAGUGUUAUUUCACCUUAUUAUUACCAUUGUAAUAUUUAUUGUUAAUGGUUUCUUCUGCAUAGAUGUUGGAGUAUCAUAAUAGAUCUCAUGGAACCAUUUUGAGUCAGGAGGAGGAGGAACUCUCCCUCUCUUUUAUGUACAGGCUUGAAUUUAUAGCUUGUUGUGGAUGAGCUCGACUUCGAUUCCCGCCACUUCUCGUCAAGAAGAGGUAAAAGAGCUUGACCUUGAAAUUUGAAGCAGUUACCUUCGGGUUGGUAAUAGGGGUCAUCUAAAUUAUUAAUGUUACGGGAGUUGUUAUUGUGAUAUUUUCCUUUUUGUGAACGAACAUCACUUCGUUGUAGACAUUUGGAUGAUUUGUCCUUGCUGUUAACUCUGAAUGUUUGAAACAUUUCCAUGGCUGAUUGAA
Long non-coding RNA from Syzygium oleosum, 503 nucleotides. RefSeq lists it as uncharacterized. The record is from RefSeq and is a predicted model, not a curated record. The transcript is spliced from 2 exons. NCBI's taxonomy places the organism in Eukaryota, Viridiplantae, Streptophyta, Magnoliopsida, Myrtales, Myrtaceae.